AGAACACAAUUUCUGGACUUUCUACAGGGA
This 30-nucleotide non-coding RNA is filed under the name Homo sapiens (human). The record is from RNAcentral. Lineage: Eukaryota; Metazoa; Chordata; Mammalia; Primates; Hominidae.